UCGAAUUCGCGAGACACGCAUUCCAACUGGACGCUGUGACUAAAACUCGUAUUUUAUUUUAUCUUACUCAUAAAAACCAUUAUACUAUUACCAGUAUUUUAUCAUUAUUUCGAUCAGUGAUCCACUCAGGAUUACGCCUGCGAAGUUAUCUGUUUAAACAGCCAUACACUUGAGGGAUAUCUUCAAUAUGAACGCGGACAGCACUCGCAAUUGCAGAUCAUCAUCUGCGAAUAUUAACAGAUCCUCAAAACGUCAGCGACUCGACAUGUCGACCUCGAGUGUCAAUUUUACAAUGCAUGACACAAGAAGCCAAAAUCAAAUGGAAUUAAGAUACAAGAACGAAAUAAAAGUUCUUCGCAAUAGAUUAUCUCACACUGAAGCGGCUGCUAUGCAACAACGCACCAUUCGAAAACAAAUUGAAGAGCUGUGUGAGAAGGAGAAGAAUAUUCUGGGGAUGCAGAUUCAGUUGGAAAAGGAAACGGUGGAGCAUCUACGUGGGGAUUUGGAGAGUGCGGUGCUGAGGGUUCAGGAAGCUCGUGAUGCCCAAGCAGCAGCUGAAGCUGAACUUUUUCGAGUUCAAACUGCGUUGGAGGAACAAAUUGCCGAAUUGCUGAUUGAAAAUACUAGAUUGAAAGAGGAAAGGAUUCAAUCAAAUUCUACUCAUACUUCGAUCCUAUCAAAGAGCAACGGCACUUACGAGGUAGACGAUGCUGAAGAGAGCAAUCUAAUGAAGAUUAAUGGAAUACUACACGACGAUUCAGAAUCUCGGGAAGGAUCAAAUUCUGGUACACCUCGGGGGAGAGUCCUCAAGGUUGUAGUCCAACGAUUAUCAUCGAAGGCGAGAGUUUACGAGACUGAAGGCAAGACUCAUAAUUCCAAAACAGAAACUUCUGCUGCACAAGAAAGUCCCAAUGAUGACGGAAAAUCGCCGAAACCAGUGAACAUGCUGAAGAGCAAGACUCAGAAAGCAAUCACCACCUCUCGAAAGAGCAGCUUCAGAAAAGUGUCGGAACCCUCGGAGGUGACGUCUUCCAUCAACAAGAAUAAGACUCCUUCCAAUCAGGAAUCAAGGAAACCCAAGUCAAGACGUCACUCCGUGCCGAAAAAGAAUAAUUCAUCAAAGAUAAAGUCUCAAGGUGUUGGAGGAGUCCGACGACGAAGGACUUUGUCAAGAGCAUCAGAAGAAUAUGAUCCUCUGGAUACAACUCUUGAAGAUGAUUUGAAAGAUUUGCCCACAGAUGAAUACGAAUCAGCCCAAGAUACAGUUCAUGUCAAUUCCUCUGGGGUUCAUUUAUCGAAUGGAGCAGAUGUGGUACAUCCCAAUAAUGAUGACCCUGAACCAAAUGCUGAUGCUGAAAAAUCAAGAGAUAACUCGCAUUAUAAAUCGAAUGGCACACCAGAUCGCGAACUCUCAUCAGAUGGAAUUCGAAUACACGGAAGGAAGAAUUACUUCGUUAAAACAUCGAGUCACCGGUACCAUGAGAUCGAUUGGGAUCAGGAGUUCAGUCAUCGACCUCUCCACGGAUUUUUCUGCAAGAAAUGUAUGUUCAGGUGCUCAAAGCGAGAGCGAAUGAGGGAUCAUGUGUGGAAUACACACUAUGAAGGAUCAUUUCUGUGUUGCCACUGUAAUCCACAUUUUCCUCUUCUGUGGCGAGACAGUGCUGUCCGUCACAUGGAGAAGAAACAUCCUGAGCUCAAUACCUUCAAAAACGAAUGAAUCGGCACAUUGAUUUGGGUAUGAAGGGGUUGGUCAUCAUCUGUUAGCUUUGACACACAUUUUUUUUUGGUUGUCGCGCAUUUAUUUUAGCUUGAACUCUCUUCGCUGCGCCUUUGUCACGAUCGUUUCAAUGUUUUAAGAGUAAUAUGGAAUGGCUUUAUCCUUUUUUUUAAUCAGCGAGAGUAAUUUCACGUGAUUAAACAAUUGAUGACCAAAAUAACUGAUGAUUGAUGAUUAUAACAUUGAUGUAACAUUAAUUAUGAAGUAAUUAUGUUACCUCGAGGUGUUAAGAUCUCAGUAUAUGCGCGAAGAUUGAGUGUAUAUUACACCUUUUCGAGUAUUUUAUGAAUUUUAUGUAGUUCUACCAUUUACUUUGUUUUUACUCAAAUCCCCAAGAGCUUUAUCAACUUUUUUACGCAUUCAUGUAGUGAAUAGCUCACCAUAUGUUUAAAAAAUCUUUUAUUUCUUCAUUAAUGAGCUUUUUAAGUUGUACUUGAAUAUCUGUCACAGACAGCAUGAGAAUGAACGCUAUGAUUCCUAAAAGGUGCCUUGCGAGAUGUAUUUUGAAUUCAUAAAGUAAUAAAUUUAUACGAAGAAACAUGAUUCGCCAAGUUUCAUUAAAAAUAAUGAGCAUAAGUUUGAUAUUGAUAUCAGAACAAUUGAUUGUUCCAUUUCAUUACAGGGUAAUUGAACAGGUCGUCGUAAGGUAAAUUGAGAGGAUUGAACAAAAACACGUGAUGGUGUUCGUCUUCAUUGGGUAGAGGAUGUACCCAAUGAAAAAAAGACACAAACUCGAUAUGCAUGGAGAAAUAUUGAUAAUUAUGUAAAUAAUUAUUCAAUCCGAUUGCUAUUUGCACGAGUGGAAGAUUUUUCUGGUUUCAUAUUGAUAUAAAACCGAAAAUUUCAAUGUUCACAUAAAAUAAGAAAAUUGAUUAAUCGAUCAAUACCAAUCACCAGUGGAUCUACGAAUCUGCAAAACAAAAAAAAACAAAAAGAGGAUUUUCAUAUAAUUAUGAAUUGAUGAAUCCAAUUUAUCUAAUGCCAAACGUACGAGGAAUAAAAUUGAUGUUCAUUUUUUCGAUGUAACAAUAUUGAAUAAGAAUCAAAUGUCAGGUGUCUUGUAUGGAAAGCCAAUGUACAAUAAUAAUUAUAAUGAGACACAAAUAUAUUCGCAUUUCAAUAAAGAAAGAGGCAAUGAACUAAUGAAUGUUUUUAUGAUUAUAAACAAUUCGGCUGAAAUAGAUUGAAACACGGAGAGAAAUUUUUUUGGGGCAACAUUCCAAGGUGUUUACUCGUCUCGCCUUAACCAAGCGAAAAUAAACAAGGAAUUUUAUUUCGAUCCAUGAAAUAUGAGUCCUGAAUAGGAGUACGUUGAUAUUCGAAUAAAUUCCCACAUUCUUUCAAACUUGGUAUUUGACAAGAGCUUGUCUGUGUUUCAAAGAAAGAAUCUCAGAAUGAAUAAAAGUGUAGGACUUGGAAACUUCCGGAGACAUGUCACCUUGAAAUCAUCGACGAUAAAUUAUUCACCCAAAGAUUCAGUAAAAGCUGAAACAAUUCGCAGUAACUCACAUAAAAUCGGAGAUAUUGGCAUUGCACGACGCAAAUUGAAUGAAAAAAUAUUAGCAGAAGAAGAGCAUGAAGUAGAGAAACAAUUGGAUUUAAAUAAAAAAACAAUAGCACAAUUGGAGGUAGAUCUCAAGAGAUCAAUGGCAAAGACACGAGAGGAACAUGAUGCUAGAUCAGCAGCUGAAGUACAACUCGCCGAAUUGAAAAGGAUUAUUCAGCAACAAUUUAUUGAGAUAACACCAUCAAUGAUCACCUCAGGCUCCUUCAGUUCAUCAGCAGAAUCGCAAAUCCAAGAGAAUCUGCAAAUGACAG
RNA transcript from Fopius arisanus, 3595 nucleotides. RefSeq lists it as uncharacterized. The transcript is spliced from 3 exons. The record is from RefSeq and is a predicted model, not a curated record. NCBI's taxonomy places the organism in Eukaryota, Metazoa, Arthropoda, Insecta, Hymenoptera, Braconidae.